GAUGAACGCUGGCGGCGUGCCUAAUACAUGCAAGUCGAGCGAACGGACGAGAAGCUUGCUUCUCUGAUGUUAGCGGCGGACGGGUGAGUAACACGUGGAUAACCUACCUAUAAGACUGGGAUAACUUCGGGAAACCGGAGCUAAUACCGGAUAAUAUUUUGAACCGCAUGGUUCAAAAGUGAAAGACGGUCUUGCUGUCACUUAUAGAUGGAUCCGCGCUGCAUUAGCUAGUUGGUAAGGUAACGGCUUACCAAGGCAACGAUGCAUAGCCGACCUGAGAGGGUGAUCGGCCACACUGGAACUGAGACACGGUCCAGACUCCUACGGGAGGCAGCAGUAGGGAAUCUUCCGCAAUGGGCGAAAGCCUGACGGAGCAACGCCGCGUGAGUGAUGAAGGUCUUCGGAUCGUAAAACUCUGUUAUUAGGGAAGAACAUAUGUGUAAGUAACUGUGCACAUCUUGACGGUACCUAAUCAGAAAGCCACGGCUAACUACGUGCCAGCAGCCGCGGUAAUACGUAGGUGGCAAGCGUUAUCCGGAAUUAUUGGGCGUAAAGCGCGCGUAGGCGGUUUUUUAAGUCUGAUGUGAAAGCCCACGGCUCAACCGUGGAGGGCCAUUGGAAUCUGGAAAACUUGAGUGCAGAAGAGGAAAGUGGAAUUCCAUGUGUAGCGGUGAAAUGCGCAGAGAUAUGGAGGAACACCAGUGGCGAAGGCGACUUUCUGGUCUGUAACUGACGCUGAUGUGCGAAAGCGUGGGGAUCAAACAGGAUUAGAUACCCUGGUAGUCCACGCCGUAAACGAUGAGUGCUAAGUGUUAGGGGGUUUCCGCCCCUUAGUGCUGCAGCUAACGCAUUAAGCACUCCGCCUGGGGAGUACGACCGCAAGGUUGAAACUCAAAGGAAUUGACGGGGACCCGCACAAGCGGUGGAGCAUGUGGUUUAAUUCGAAGCAACGCGAAGAACCUUACCAAAUCUUGACAUCCUUUGACAACUCUAGAGAUAGAGCUUUCCCCUUCGGGGGACAAAGUGACAGGUGGUGCAUGGUUGUCGUCAGCUCGUGUCGUGAGAUGUUGGGUUAAGUCCCGCAACGAGCGCAACCCUUAAGCUUAGUUGCCAUCAUUAAGUUGGGCACUCUAAGUUGACUGCCGGUGACAAACCGGAGGAAGGUGGGGAUGACGUCAAAUCAUCAUGCCCCUUAUGAUUUGGGCUACACACGUGCUACAAUGGACAAUACAAAGGGCAGCGAAACCGCGAGGUCAAGCAAAUCCCAUAAAGUUGUUCUCAGUUCGGAUUGUAGUCUGCAACUCGACUACAUGAAGCUGGAAUCGCUAGUAAUCGUAGAUCAGCAUGCUACGGUGAAUACGUUCCCGGGUCU
This 1372-nucleotide ribosomal RNA is filed under the name uncultured bacterium. RNAcentral describes it as "bacterial SSU rRNA". It matches the Rfam family "Bacterial small subunit ribosomal RNA", at positions 28 to 1381 of the family's 1533-position model. The record is from RNAcentral.